This 16474-nucleotide small RNA is filed under the name Mytilus galloprovincialis (Mediterranean mussel). The record is from RNAcentral. Lineage: Eukaryota; Metazoa; Mollusca; Bivalvia; Mytilida; Mytilidae.
AUGUCUGUCUCUACACCUGUUAAUAUAGAUGUUAUGGAGAAAGAGUUAUGUAGACAUCCGGACUCAACUUUUAAAAAUUAUUUGAUAAACGGGUUAAGAUAUGGUUUUAACACUGGGUUAAAGACUCUCCCAUCAAAGUCUAUUAUAUGUAAAAAUUUGAAGUCAGCAUCUACAAAUCCUAUUUGCGUGUCAGAAUUACUUGAAACUGAAGUGUCAAAAGGAUACCUCAUUGGACCUUUUAACGAUAUUCCUUUUAGCAACUAUCGCAUAAAUCCAAUUGGUUUAGCCGAACAUAAAUAUAGUAAGAAAAGGCGUUUAAUUGUUGAUCUUUCAGCACCACAUGAGGAUGAGGACAAUCCAAGUCUAAAUGAACUUAUUGAUAAGGAAGAAUUUUCUUUACAGUAUGUUUCUAUUGAUGAUGCUACUCAUAUUAUAAAGCAGUUAGGUAGUAAAAGUUGGCUUCUAAAAACAGAUGUUUGCGAUGCGUUCAAAAUUAUUCCCCUUAAAUCAGAAUUAUGGCCAUAUCAUGGUAUACAGUGGAACAAAAAGUUUUAUUUUUUUAAGAGAUUAGUGUUUGGGUGUAGAUCAAGUCCCAAAAUUUUUGAUACACUAUCCAGGGCUGUUUGCUGGAUAGCUAGAAAUAACUAUGGUAUUGUAAAUAUUUUACAUUUGUUAGAUGAUUUUUUAAUUAUUGUACCUAGAGCAGAUAAUGCUCAGCUAAUUAUGAACAAUGUGUUAAAAAUGUUUUCAUCUUUGGGUAUACCUUUGUCAAAAAAGAAAACUGAAGGUCCUUGUGUCAUUUUAGAAUAUUUGGGUAUUUUUCUUGAUACUAUAAAGAUGGAGGCACGUUUGCCUAAAGAGAAAAUUGCAAGAAUUCAAGAAGUUAUUGAAUCUUUUUCUAAACGCAAUACAUGUACCAAAAGAGAACUUUUAAGUCUGCUAGGACACUUAAAUUUUGCAAGUAGAGUUAUUUUACCAGGCAGAUCAUUUGUGUCUCACUUGAUUAAGCUUUCAACAACUGUUAAAAAAUUGUCACACCAUGUACAUAUUAAGAAUUGCAGAUCUGAUUUGGCAAUGUGGUCUCAAUUUCUUAAAAACUGGAAUGGAAUAUCUUUUUUUAUUAAUGAUGACAUUAUUAAAGCUGCAGACAUUCAACUUUACACAGAUGCUACACCUAAAUCAUUCGGGGGAUUCUAUCAGGGAAGUUGGUUUCAAGGCGAAUUUACAUCAGAACUUUUACACGAACAAACGUCUAUGGCCUUUUUUGAACUGUACCCUAUAGACUAUAGUGAUGGCCUGUGCUCUAUGGGGUCACAAUUGGAGUAGAAAACGAAUAUUUAAAUUUGACUUGGAGGAAACUACUCAGCUAAAAAAUUAAUUUUUGCUCCAUGGCCAACCACUAGAGCCUGUAGCUACUUUGUUGAACAUAAGCCUCUCCCUUAAUCAAGGAUCGAUUUAUUUUUCUGCUGAGAAAUUUACUUUUUAGACUUGGGUAUAAAGAUGAUAAAUUUUGUGGGCAUUCAUUUAGAAUAGGAGCAGCUACAUCUGCAGCUGCUGCAGGAAUAGAAGACCACAUUAUUCAAACUCUAGGUAGAUGGUCAUCUGAUUGUUACAUACGUUAUAUUAGAACCAACCCUAAAACUAUACAUGCAGCUCAAGAUAAAAUGUGUUUUUAAGCGAACAUUUCUCUUAGUAGAUUUUAUUUUCAUUUUAUUGGCACAUAUUGUGAAGUUAAAUACAUGUAUAUGUUUCAGAAUUUUAUAUAUUUGUAUUAGUUUUUUACUUGUUUUAUUGUAUAGGUACAAUGUACAUACAUUUAUAAUUAAGUUACUAUUUUUUUUACAUAUCUGAUGUAUCUUUUCUUGGGGGCUUUCACUCUUUAAUUUCGCUCAUUUUGGCCAACAUAAUUUCAGGGAAAUUAUUUUCCCCCAAUUCAUUUAUACAUUUUUAAAAUUAUUAAGUACAUUUGUACACCUGCUGGCAUCUACCGCAGGAUCUAUUUUUAUUCGCAUUAGGUAAUCUGCUGGCAUCUACCGCAGAAUCUAUUUUUAUUCGCAUUCACCUGCUCGGAUCUACCACAGGUUCUCGAAAUUACUUUUGUCUGCUCGGAUCUACCACAGGCAUAAGUAAUAUAUAUUUUUUGUAUGUGUUGUCUGCUCGGAUCUACCACAGGCAUAAGUUGUAUAUAUUUUGUGUAUGUGAUUCUUCAGAAACUGUAAUGAGUAGCCCCCUAGAAAGCCAAAUGUUACAUCAAGGUAUUAAUAUGUAAAUGUUUUACUAUUUAGUAUGUUUUUUAUGUUAUAUGAAAAUGUUUUAGCUCUUAGUGAGUUUUAGAUUUAGUUUUAAUAAAUAGUUUAGUUUUAUACCUUAUCUUAGUUAUAUACAGUUAGUAAUUGUAGUUUUGGUAUAUGUUGGUUUGCCAAGAUUAUUCAGGACCACAAGCGACGGUACACACACUAUCAUACAUACUGGUGCCCUUAGUCGUUGGCAGAAUGAAUCUUAUUGAUGUUAUUUUGGUUGUUUUAUGCAAGGAUCAAGCUAUUAGAUAUGGAAGAUUUGGUAUGAGAGCCAAUGAGACAAAUCUUCAUAGUAUCAAACAUACAAACUCUAACAGAAUUUUGUUUUAAGUGGGAUAUUUUUCUUGUCUGGAGAAUGAUGUAUAAAUGGGAAUUUAAUGCAUUAAAUUGGAGUUUAUACAUUUUACGUUUUUGUCCUCAUCAUCUGUUACCCUUCUCAUCAUGUGUUCAAUUUUAGCAGAAACUUUAAUAAGUUAUUUUUGUCUACAGAGAUAAGAUAAGGAUUUGACAAUCUCAUUACAGAUAGGGAAGGGAUAGGUGGUCAUUUUAUAAAGCUUGUUGCAGUUACAGCAGCCAUUUUUGUAUCUCCGAGAUUUAAAUUGACCCUCCCGCCAUCCCCUUUCAGCACAUGUUUUAAUUGGGGCUACUUGUUCAACAAACAAUAUAACGAAGAAACACUAUUCACUAAGAACACCAGGCCAACAUAAUUUCAGGGAAAUUAUUUUCCCCCAAUUCAUUUAUACAUUUUUAAAAUUAUUAAGUACAUUUGUACACCUGCUGGCAUCUACCGCAGGAUCUAUUUUUAUUCGCAUUAGGUAAUCUGCUGGCAUCUACCGCAGAAUCUAUUUUAUUCGCAUUCACCUGCUCGGAUCUACCACAGGCAUAAGUAAUAUAUAUAUUUUUGUAUGUGUUGUCUGCUCGGAUCUACCACAGGCAUAAGUUGUAUAUAUUUUGUGUAUGUUAUUCUUCAGAAACUGUAAUGAGUAGCCCCCUAGAAAGCCAAAUGUUACAUCAAGGUAUUAAUAUGUAAAUGUUUUACUAUUUAGUAUGUUUUUUUAUGUUAUAUGAAAAUGUUUUAGCUCUUAGCGAGUUUUAGAUUUUGUUUUAAUAAAUAGUUUAGUUUUAUAUCUUAUCUUAGUUAUAUACAGUUAGUAAUUGUAGUUUUGGUAUAUGUUGGUUUGCCAAGAUUAUUCAGGACCACAAGCGACGGUACACACACUAUCAUACAUACUGGUGCCCUUAGUCGUUGGCAGAAUGAAUCUUAUUGAUGUUAUAUUUUGGUUGUUUUAUGCAAGGAUCAAGCUAUUAGAUAUGGAAGAUUUGGUAUGAGAGCCAAUGAGACAAAUCUUCAUAGUAUCAAACAUACAAACUCUAACAGAAUUCUGUUUUAAGUGGGAUAUUUUUCUUGUCUGGAGAAUGAUGUAUAAAUAUGGAAAUAUAACUUGCAAAUGCCAAUACAUUAUCAUACCAAACAUCAUUGACUUACAUUAGUGGUUCAUCUCAACUUGAUCUAAUCACAAACUAAUAUUAAUGAUUGUUGAUUACGUUAGUUUUUUGCCAUUUGUUAAAUCAAAAUACAGACGGUGUAGAUAAUGUUUUCCGGUAGUCUUUGUAACAUAAUAAGGAAAACAAAAUAUGGAUCCAUUAUUUUAUUUUAUCUUAAUAUAUCAGUAUCAAAGAAUCAUAUUUUAUUUUCCUCCAAUCAAAUAUAUGCAUAAAUUGAUCAUAUUGUUAGAAAGAUGAUUAAUCAUUGAAUUAUCCCUGUAGAUCAAGAUACAAAUUUAAGUAUUACAAGAAUUCGGGAGAUAGAAAAGAAAGCCUUUGAGGCAUACAGCUUAGACGAGGCACUCAGAAUAUACACAGAAGAAUUAACAGAUUUUUCAGAAAAAGAAGACUUGAAAAGUAAAGCAAUACUGUAUACAAACAGGGCAACCAUAUACAAUACACUAAAACAGCAUGAACUGGCAUUACAAGAUGCAGAAAGUGCUAUAAAAGCUGAUCCAAUAUCGCCCAAGGUAUGCAAAAUAAUCAGCAUUUAAGGUGAUGAAGUAGUUUCGUUUAUUUUAUUACUUUUAAACUCGAUAAUAUGAUGAGAUGCUCAUAUCUUCAUUCGAAAAGUGACUUAGGCAUUUAUUCGAAUUAUUUUUGCAAUGCAUGACCUUUUUAUUUUUAUCAAAUGACAUAUAUAAAAACUCAUCAAAGAUAGAAAGCAUAAAGGACUUUUGCAAGAAGAUUCUUAACAUUCCCCAAACAAACAAAUGAAUUAACUUUAAUAAAGCAAUGUGCAUAACCACCAAUAAAACAAUUCACUUGAUAAAUCAAAUAUGGAAUUCAAUCAAUAUAUUUCUGUUACAAUUAUUACGUAAAUCCUAUAGUCGUAUAGUAAGUCAGUAAUAUUUUUUUUAUGUCAAGACAGAUUGCAUAAUAAAGAUGAUAGCAAUAUUGGAACACGAUAUGACUACAAAAAAGAAACCGCAUCAAUUCAGAGUACCAACAAUUGUUCUCUUUUAUUCAAAAUAUUGAAUCAUGAACAAAUGUCAGUGGUUUUGAUAUCUCAGACUGACUUGUAUAACAAACUUAUUUGUUCUUUUCAACUGAAAUUGACCAUAUAAGAACUUUUUUUUUAUGUAAAUCUUAAAGUUUCAUAGUAAAUCAAUAAUAUUUUUUAAUGUCAUAACAGAUUGUAUAAUAAAGAUGACAGCAAUAUUGGAACAUAAUGACUACUAUGAAUACUUCUUUGAAUAAUAUACUGUUAAUAUAUUAUGAUGGUUGAUUGUACAAAUUUUCAUAUUUAUUUAACACUUUAUUAAUAUCUUUAUAUACAGUGUACAAUGUUUUGUUUAACCGUUUGGCAAAUUACAAUCUUAAAUCAUGUAAAUCCAAUGCAAACAAGGUGGAUUACGAUUAGAUUUCCAUGUUUUAAAUGCAUAGAGUUAUAUUUAGGAAGAGACUGUUAAUUAUGGGGAACGAAGCAACGAAAACCAUUAUUUUAUAUCCCAUCCUAUAAAAAUAUUUCUCCUAUCUAUGUGUUGGAUAACCUUUCUAUCCGACUAUAUGUAUAUAUCUUUACAACUGAAGUUAAUUUAUAAAUAAUAAUUUUGUAUUAAGAGGAAAACUCUUUGUGGAAGGUACUGCCUUUCAAGUUUUAAUACACCUGAAAGUGACAAUGGCUAUGAUUCUGACAGUUUAAUAUGAAAAAUGUGUAUAUGUGUUAGUUUCAAACAUUUUCUUGAACGAAAUAUUUAAUAGAUAUAUAAACAGACUUUAUCAAAUAUUAUUUGGAAACGUAUGCCUGAGAUGUAUGCAUGCAAUCGUUGUCGUAGCUUUCAUCGGAGAAUGAUUUAGCAUGGUCAGAUAUUAAUCGGAAUGUCAGUUAAAAUGUUUUAGGAUAGAAAGCCAUAAAGAAGACCGAUUUCUUUUUCGGAUUUAUUUCUAAAAAGUCAUCAUUUAUCAUUAAAACGAAUAUACUUGGUCACGUUCAGCUUAACCACGUGGUUCAAUGUUGACAGCAAAUGAAAUGAAAUUGUUAAAUUUACAUUGGAUAUAAGUGAUUACAUUUAUAUGCGAAAACAAGCGACUAAUGCAAAAGAUUUCAAAAAAUAUUUUUUUCUUUACUAAUAAUUAUAUAUCAAAAUCUAGCUAUCAAUAGUUAUCAAAGGAUCCAGUAUAAAUCAACCUACUAAUUUGUGUUGUUUAAAUUAAGGCACACGGGAGGAGAGGAAAACAGCUCUAUCUAAUGAACAAAUAUGAUAAAGCAUUUGGAGCUUUCAUACAUGGACUGGGAACAGUACAGCUUGUAUGUGAUGAGAAAUAUAUAAUUGAUCUGAUUAUUGGUGCAGUUAUUGCUUUACCAGAUAUACCAGGUAUGAAAUUUUCACAAUGAUAGAGCAAACAAAGAUGAUGUGAUCUAAGUGGCAAUCAAAAAAAGGAAGAUUUAGACGCAGCCUUCACAGGACAUUUACGUUAUGAAGCAGCUUUAGGGAAAUGAUGCAGUUAGCUUAAAUCCUUACAUUGCAAGGGACAAAGAUUUUCAAGUCUCAAUACGGAACGAUGAUUUUAUGUGCAAUUAAUAUAUAAAUUAAGUAAUCUUAGAUUCAGUUAUUUCAUUGCAAAAUUUUCAAAUUUCGAAAAGAUCAUCGACAAUUUUUUAACAGCAAUUUAUAUUGUAUGGAACGUUUACUUAUUUAGAUUGUUUUGCUUAAUUUUAGACAAUUUUUCGUUUUAACUCAUCAAAAGUGAUUCCAGAAUCAUGACAUUAGAACUGAAGAAAAUGCUAGACUUUUAAAAUGUUUUUUUCUUUAUACAACACACUGGACCAAAAGGAUAAUAUUGCAUUAAAGAAGCUACAUUCUCUCCGAGCAAUCGACAAUUAUGUUGCUGUUCAUCUUAAGAACAGAGCACUUAUAUAGAAUACUUAAAACUGAGAUCAUAAAGUCAACUUGGGACAUUAAAUCCCUAAUUCUUAUACAAUUUGGAUCAUGAUGUCCUUCAUUCGAAUGAAAAUGACAUACAAGAACAUAUUAUCUUAAAUGAUCUAUACCGUCAAUUCCACGGUUGACGUUCAAAGUUUUUGAUAAAAAGUAUAUCGAUCGUAAUCCACGAUUAUAAUUAUUACAUAUGAUUGAUUUAUUUUUAAUAUAGUAUUGCAUUAGAAUUCGAAUAGCAUAGUUAUAUUUGGAGAGUUGUCAUUGUCAGUAAAUAAUUUAAUCAAGACAAAAUAUUUGUAUGUAUGAAAAAGUGGUCAAUGAAAAUAGAGUCAGAAAAUACCCAUAAAGCCAUUACCAAUUAUAUGAAAGAUAGACACUGUCUUGUCAAAAAGAAAAUUAAUAAGAAACAGUACACAGUAAAACUGAGAUUGAUUUUUCGAUAGAGUGCACCGGAAGCUUAAUCAGUUGAACCUCCUUCAAUAACAAUUGUUGAAAAAUUAAAUAAGCUAGAUACUGUUGAAUCUUUAGUUUAUUUUUUUCAUAAUAACGGUCACGAUAGUAUCUAAAACACAUCUAAAUUGAUGUCUUAGAAAUAAAAUAACCAUAGUAAUAACAGGCCAAUUAUUUUGUACGCCAUACUCAUGCUUAGUCUACACAAAAUUACCGGUGAAACAAAAAGUUACACACCAAACAUGCUUCAUAAAAGCGUUUUCUUCUAGAGGUUAUACCUGAAGUCAAUGAUUAUUUUGUUUAUUUCAGAAGUUCAAAGAAUGAAUAGGUACAAUGCUUUGUUUCAAAUUCGGUUUGAAGAGUAUUGGCCUAAAAUACUGAACCAACUGUCCACAGAUGGUGAAUGGAAUGGAAUCAGAUAUCUUAUUUUAGGAAUGAUUCCCGAGAUUACGCUAGAUCUUGCAGGUAAAUAUAGCUGUAACUUUAUAUUAAGUGGUCUAGAGCAAUGUACACAAUGCAGUUGGUGUUGUCUCGAUCACUCAAUAGCUACGACGAAUCCCAGCGAGGGAAGAACAAAAAUUUGCUUCGCCAAUUUGCAGCUUCAAAAUCAUGCUAAUAUUAAGAGUCGUUUUAAAUACAAUGAUUGUUUUCCGUCGUGUAUCAAUUUACUGAUGAUCCACAGAAUGUAACAGCCGUAAAGUUGUCAUUUUUCUGUAUAAGACGAUUCUUUACGACAUAUAUUAAGAUAAUCUCUCAUCAAUUCCAUCCUCAUGCCUAACAUAUCAUGUACUGUGUUACAACUUUAGAUUCUACUGACCAGGAAAGUUAACACUAGGCCACCGAAGCCACCGAAAGCAUAAUUAUCUAGUUCAGACUAGGUUGUGAUCUAGAGCAAUGGACACAGUGCAGGUAGUAUUGUCUCGAUAUCUCAAUAGCAUGAGUUCGAAUCCCGGCGAGGACAGGACACAAAUUUGCUACCGCAAGAUUGCAGAUCUUUCAUUGUUGUGGUGAUUUUAGAAUAUUUAUGAUGUAUAUAAAAUGUUUAGACGUACUUAAUACUUUUUUUCUGAGACUGUAUCCUGACGAUCCUUUACAAAAGAUACUUAGCUAAUCUGUAAUCAAUCAAUCAAUCAAUCAAUCAAUCAAUCAAUCAAUCAAUCAAUCAAUUAGUUAUUACCCGUUUUUAAUUGUAUCAGAAGGGAAGUCCGAAAUUAUUAUUUUAUUACCGUUAUGAAGAUGGUGAUGUGGCUAAUGCCUUAUAAGUUGGGGACCUUUGCAACCGAAAAUCAAGUAAAACAAUACGAUUAAAGACAAUAUAACACUACAUAGAUAUGAUCAAUUAGUACAAAUUUUGUCAUAUAUUGGUUACACUACUCUUAAUGGAUUAUGUUGUUGAUUAUUUACCGCCUUUAGCUAAAAUGAAAAAGAAAGCUUAAAUUUUCUUUCCAUAUAGUAAAUCGUUAAUCCAUAUUAUAACUAAAACUCUAAAUAAGUCUAUAAAUACUUAUGCUACAUCAAUCUAAAAAAAAUGUUGCUGAACAAAUGUCCCACCUUUAUGACAAAUAUGUUGUUUGCCCCGCAAGAAAGUUUGCAAUAACGACUUUUUGUUUGUUAAUCAUGCAUAGUAAAUUUGGGGCCCUUUAUAGCUUGUUGUUCGGUGUGAGCCAAAGCUCCGUGUUGAAGACCGUACUUUAACCUAUAAUGGUUUAUUUUUAAUUGUUAUUUGUAUGGAGAGUUGUCUCAUUGGCACUCACACCACAUCUUCCUAUAUCUAAUUAAAUAUGAUUGAUCUUUUGGAAAAAAAUCAAAUUACAAAAAUACUCAACUCCGACUCGGAAAAUUCAUAACGAAAAGUCCAAUAUCAAAGGGCAAAAUCAAAAGUUCAAUAACAUCAAACCAAUGGAUUCAACUGUCAUAUUCCUGACUUGGUUCAGGCAUUUGAUUAUGCAGAAAAUGGUGGAUUAAACCGUUUUAUAGCUAGCUAAGCCUCUCACUUGUAUGACCGUCGCAUUAAAUUCCAUUGUAUUGCCAACGAUGUGUGAACAAAACAAACAGACAUAAUAGGUAAAAUGUCACAAAUAGGGGUACAAAAAAAUAUACGAUAUGCAUGUAUCAGCACAGAAUUUACCAAAGAGAAAAUCUGAAACAUCAAUUAAAAAUGGCCUUUCCACCCUUAACCGAUUUCUCUGACGUCAGUCUAUUGUUCUAACAGUGGAUUAUUUUUCAAGAAUCCACUGACCUCUAAGUUAACUUAAGAUAUCUUAUAACAUAACUUUUAACUUAAGAUAUUUUAUCCUCUCAAAAACGAGUGACAAAUGAAAGGUUCGAACUCGCGCGUAUUUUCGUCAGUUUAGUCUGUAGCCUAUACAUGCUACCACUAGACCACGAGUGCUGAUAUAGAAUUAAAUUUAAAAAACACCCUUAUAGCGUAUAUCUGUCAAUAGAUGUCAAUAAGCUGUAUUUUUGUCGUUUUGUUGUCGUAUAAAACAUAUAAACACUAUAGAACCAAGGACUUGCAAUUAUUACUUAUUAGGACAAUUCCUUGAUAAAAUAAACAUCCAUGUACACAUUACACUUAUAGCUUUUAACGUACAAGGCCUUUCCCUUUUCAUUAUAGCAAAUACUAACUUGUGGUUUUAGUAUUAUAAUGAUAUCAUACCAUCACUAAGUUUUUCUUUGUUUGAUUAUAGAUGGUCCAAAUAUAUAUAUAUAUCAAUAUUUGUGUGAAUAAAGUGUAAUAAGCAACGACUGUAAAACUGCUUCUUUGUCUGUAAAACUAGAAACAAAAUCGUCAACUUUAUAUGAAAAGUGAAAUAUAAAUACCUCUAAGAUUAAAAAAAUGUUUUGGUAGAGAAAAACAUUACAAUAAAAAAAAAAGCGUUCCGGGUACUAGGCUUGAACUUGGGACUGUUAUUAUCACAAUCACAAUUAUUUCUGUGCCAACGACUAGACGAUCACGGCUAUGAACAGCUCACAUGUUUCACUUCAAAAUUGAGAUAAUUAUAUAUUGUGCAUUUGUAGCAAGAGCAAUUUUGCUUGGGUUUCUGCAAAUAAUGCUAGUUUAUUGACUGAUGAUGGAUGCCAAAUGUAAUAACGUUAAACUAAUCUUAACACUAUGAAAGGGAACCAGUUCAAUAAAGACCAUUCGUUGCAUGUUUUCAUCAUAACAGGAGUAUUGUGUAGACGUAGUUAUACUUCAUUUAGAACUGUUACGCGUUCAGUCGUUUAUGUACGUAUUACAGGUACAUUGAAGAUCUAACGACUUUGACUUGCAAAUGCAGUUGCUAAAUACUAAAUAAGUAAAUAUUAAACGUUUCUUAAUGUUGGUUAUUAAUUUUUUUAACUUUCCAGAAAAUAUUUUUAAAAAUCCGUAUAUUGAUUAUAUGGCUUUAUGAAUAAAUUAUAAAUACUAAAAUCUAAUCAAUGUAAAUAAUUUGAUAUGAUUAAACAUCGAAUGAAAGAAUUAUUUACAAAUAUAAAAUCUGGUAUUAAAAAGGGGAGAUUACAACACAUUUAAGUUAAAUUGAACUUAUAUUAAGUUAAAUAUAAAUGUGAACCGUGUGGAUCUAAUCAUUUCCAGCUAUUAGAGAAUAAAAAAGACAAAAUACAACAUUAUUUACAUAAAAUUCUGUUGAUUCAUUGUUAGAUUAUACAACAGAUAGUCGUUUUACUAGAAAUGGGUUAAGCUAGAGAAUUGAUAAGAAGUAGUGGACUAAAGUCGCUCGUUGAUUAUCGUUUACGAAUCCACUACUUCUUUUCAAUUCUCUACUACAUAAAGAUCAAUUUUGAUUUAAAACUAUGAAAAUUCAGUUUGAAAUACUAAAUUCAGCGUCAAAUUAAAGCCUAUGGUACGCUGAUUCCAAAAAUAUAUGGUUUCUAUACAUUUUUUUCUAAAAAAAAGGGAGAUAAAUUGUAACUUCCGGUUUGAAAUAUGUCACUUUCGGUUUUAUUUGAUAGUUAACUUGAUACUGAUUCCAAAAUGUAUGGGUCAAUAUACUUUUACAUUAAAUAAUAACAAAACAUAGCUACUUCCGGUUAACACACGUCACCUCCGGCUGGCUUUUCCAUGGUCAGGUGUCUUGCAACGUAAUGGAAAAAGUUCCAUGGCUUUAUAUUGUAAACAUAUGAGGUAAAAGCAAAGGUCAAUAUCUAGGACCUCAAUUUAACCUAUGACCUUGAAAUUGAACUCAAGAUCAUAGGUUAAAUUGAGGUCCUUAAUUUUUACUUUUACCUGAUACGUUUACAUAAAAAAGCCAUGGGAUUUUUUCUAUUACGUUGCAAGACACCUGACCAUUGAAAAUUCAACCGGAAGUGCAAAGUCAUAAACCAAGGGGUUCAAAUCAAAAGAUUAUAGGUCUUAAUUAUAUAUGGUUAUUGAGUUUUAUCACUAUAUGCCUUAUACAAGAGGGAAGAAGACUCAAAUCUAAUGUUAGUGUACACUUUCAACCAAAAUCCAUGUGUUACGACGUGUCGCAACUUACAAUUUAGUAAAAAUAUGUUGUCGGUAUCUGAUACGGUUUUUGAAAAGAAUUAAAAAAUAAGCCAAAAUCAAAAUAAAAAAUAUGUCCUUGACCUCUGACCUUGACCUUUUCCUAUUUUUGGAUCAGGAACAUCAAAUCAAAAGAUCCUAGGUCUCGAUCACUAAUGGUUUACAAGAUAGAAAUGUAUAUGACUAAUAUCACAUGCAUAAGGGGAAAUAAAUCUCAUUUGGAGUGUUCAUAUCGCCUAGGUCAAAAUAGAACAAAUCAUGCAACGGAAAUAACGUGCAAUUUUAUAAAAUAAAUGUGUCGCUUUCUUUUACGGUUACAAAAGAGAUGCGGUCACAAGGAAAACAGUGUUCCGGAAGAUAACUCUUACAAAAAAUUGUUUGUCUCAGUAGGGUUUAAUUUAAACUACAUUGUAUGUAAACUAUACGAUACAAUAUGAGUAUCUAAGCGACAUAUUGCGAAAGAAAUAUUUAUCGCAAGAACAAAACAAGGCGGAAGAAAAAAAAAGAUAAUCAGAACAAAUACAAUAGGUCUUUCCACAGAAAAGUGGAAAGGCCCAAUAAAACUGUCAUAUGUCUGUCAUAUGUUUAUACAAGUAAUAUACAUAGAGAUUGGCAACUAAAGUCCAACAAAUGAAACCAAUGCAGAUACAAAACUCUUGUUUUAGGAGUCGAUAAAUUAUACUUUGUAAAUAGCCUCUCUGAAUCAAUGAAACACUAAUUUGGAGCUGAAAUUUGUAAUUUUUGUAUUGACAGCAUACUUGCUACCUGAAGCCGAGACUAUCGACAUUCUAAAUAAAUGCAACUAUUAUCAUUUCCGCCUGACUCGUUUUAAAAUUCGUUUAAAGAAGGCAAAACGAUUUUUUUCGGAAAGAGUGAACAUAAUAGUGCAUUAUCCUUUAACUUUACGCUUUGCUUCAAAGAUUACGUCUGAGUAAUUCGAAGUUGGUUUACUUUUGGAAACUUUUAAUUUCCAAAUCUUGAUAGUAUAUUAGAGAGAUAGUCCUUCCUGUCUUGAAGUAUAAUUUUAUGUAUGUUUAUUAAUACGAGAUGGCUUUUAAUCAGGUUUCAGUAAAUCUGAAUACUUGAUUUAGAUCGACACUUUGUGUGUUUUGCAAUCUUUAUAUCUGUAGUGUUCCUAAAGGUAAUAAGGACUUGCAAGAUAUAUGUACUGCCUGAAAAUGACGACAUUAAUUCAUCAAAAAAUGAUAUAAAAGAGUUGUUAGAUGUUUAUUAUUCGUGUUUUAGGCCAUGGAGUAGCAAGUUCCUGGGACAUCAGUAAGAUAGACCUGAGUACUGUAUUCAAAUAUAUAGAGGAAGCUGAACCUGACAAAUCAGUAACGAAUUGGUUAACCCCUACAUUAACCGUUCUCUUAUUCAAAAAUAAAAAACAAUUUCUGAACUUUAAGCAAGAUGCCAAUGCCACAUGUGUUCAUUUUGCUGUAAAAUAUGUGCUCAUAACAGGUGAGAAGUACUAAAUAUAGAUAUAUUUUUUACAUUAGUUCAGUGAUAGUUUGUUACUCGUGACUAUCCUUUUGUUUCUUCUAAAAGUAAACAAAUUUUCAGGGUUUUUCCAAUCUGCCUGCAAACAUUAUCUCACAUAUGGUACACUGAUGUAAAAUGAUGACAAAUGAUUAGGAUUUGCUUCCGUAGGAGGCAACAGACUUCCGCAGAGUUACAACAUUUCAUUUUCAACUAAAAAAAUAUUUUAUUUAUCCGAAUUCCACUGUUAUAUGUAAGUUAUAUGGCAAAAUCAAAAGCAGAAACUCAUCAAAAGAAUAGAUAAUAAAUGUCAAAUUACUGACUUGGUACAGGCAUUUACUUAAUAUGUAGAAAAUGGUUGAUUGGACCUGGUUUUAUAGCUAGCUAAACCUCUCGCGUGUAUGCCAGUCGCAUGAACAAAACAAACAGACGUAACAGGUAAAAAUGUCAAAAAUAGGGUAACAACAGUCAAAAUAAUCUUUAUCACUAAAAAACCCACACAAAUAUGCAACAAAGAAGCACAAAAUGGCAUAUAGACCAAGCAUAUUAGCAAAAAUUAAAGACAAGAAUACACAAAUUUACCAUAGUACAAUAACACAAUGAAUGGGAUGUAUAACUACUGGCCAACGUCAUAUAUGUAACGAAGAAACAUUAAAAGGCAGAUAGACAAAGCAUAUAGCAAACACAAAAGACAAGAAAACAAACAUGUUUUACAAUAGCACAUUAACGGAAUGUGCUAAUAAAUUCAUUCCUGUCUGUUACAAACUUUAACACAUUGUACACUUAAUUAUUCUUGAAGUUUUGAAUUCACUAUCAAUAUUACUUUUGGUUAUUUGUAAAGUGGAAUUGCUGUUAAUUUGACGAAUUACCAAAUUACCAUAUUAUUGAAGUUUAGAAAUAUAAGUUAGCUUUAAAGAAAAUUACAAAAAAAGUUUUAUCAUGUUUCACAAUAUAGAUGAUGUGCAAUUAUUUUGAAACUAAGAUCGCACGUAUCUUAGUUAGAGGUUACUUUUUAGGAUUCGUGUUUGCUCUCAUAAACGCAUAAUUUUGUCAAACUCUGCAAAGAUCUGCAUUUUAAGCUUUUAAUCUUGGCUACGAGCGUGGAUGACGAAGAUAGUUAGUGCCCAAAUAUGUCAGAAUAACGAACAACUUCAUUAAAUUGAAUUAUGAAUAGUUAUAGGAAGAUGUGGUAUGAAUGUUAAUGAGACAACUCUCCAUCGAAGUCACCGUUUAUAAAACUAAACCCUUAUAGGUCAAGGUACGGUAUUCAACACGGAGCCUUGGCUCACACCGAAUAGUAAACUAUAAAGGGCCCCCAAAAAUAUGACUUAAAACAUUCAAACAUGAAAAACAACGGUCUAAUCUAUACAAAUAACGAGAAACGAGAAACACUUAUGAACAACAUCAACAAACGACAACUACUGAACCUCAUAUUCCUGAUUUAGGAAAGGUACAAACAAUUGCAGCGGGUAACCCAGGGUACCAAACCUUCACCAUUAUCUGUAAAAAUAGUGUAACAUUACAACAUAGAAGUAAGUUAAGAAUUAAGAAGAUGCAUACAUACAUUUAAUACUUUUUAUAAAACUACAGUUUUAUUGAUUGUUUUAUAAAAAACUUUUGUAUAAUCACUAUGUAACAAAGUUAAAGCUGAUUAUAAUUUUGGAAACGAUGUAAAGGAGUGUUCAAUUGGCAUUCGUUAAAAGUAAUAUGUUUUUCUGAUGAUGUAAACUCAAAAUAAAUAAAUAGUAUACUCAUGCUGGUACAGUAACGAUUAUUAUUAGUUGUGAACUUAGGCCGUGUUCGCAUUGACCUAAACACGGUGUUGUGUUAGUGUAACUCACAUAUAAACUAAACACAAUUACGUUUCCAUUGAUAAAACUCAAUGUUUACAUGUAGUUUUGUCUACAUGCAGUCGAUAGUCAAUGUAGGCCUUGUGUAUGUUUAGUGUACAAAAAACUAGGCAUUUAGAACAUUAAUUUGCCCAUGCAUUUUUAAAGAAGAAACGAUUUUUAAAUAAAAUUGAUACUAUUAACAAUUAUUAAUUAAGUUCUUUACAGAAAUAUUUGAAUAAACUUGAUAUAUUUAUUUGUUAUAAAAAUCACUUUUCGUAGCUUUAUAAAACCCUUAUCAAGACUCAAACAUCAUCGUUGGCGAACACAUAAUUCAUUUGAAAAGGUCUUCCCGAAAUCGACUGGACGUACACAGAAAUAUUUGCCACUGGUCUUUACUCAAACAACGAUUCACUCAUAAAUGCAUUACUGAAAAAGCGUGAGGUUAAUUGUAAUGUUUGUCUAGUACCACUGAUCCGUUAAAAUACACUUAAAAAAAAACAUUACCCCCUCCCUUUGCUAAAUACUCUCUGGAGAGAAAAAAUACCAUUUGUAACAAACAGAAAAGAUAAAAAUGUAGUGAUCCUUAACAUCGCAAUCCUUUUUCUUCGUCUGUAAGCACGCUGAUGCAGCCUACGUUAUUUAAUGAGUAAUCGAGAUAUCUUUUGUAUCUUUAAACAACUGUAAAUCAUUUAAAUGGCUUUCAUAAAGUAGCAACCACUUAACAUAAAAAUGGGGGAUCUUUCGCGCAAAACAACGGUUUUUUCAGUUUUUUUCGAUGAUACCAAUCAAAUGAUUUUUUUUUAAUAUUUAACACUAUAAUGUAUGGGGAAACUUUGGAUUCAGAAUAUUUUUUAUUUUAAUCAUCGGUAUGAACCGAUUUUUUUUUAUCAAAUUGUGGAGCAGAAUAUUUUUCACGGAUAAAUCCAUCCCCCCUUUUUUUGAAGUCAAAUGGUCGUGCCUUAACUGCAAGAAAAGUUGUCCGAAAAUUUGAAUUCGGUUUUACGUAAUGAAAAUUUAAAUGACAUAUAGUUUACAAGUGUGAACAAGUCUUAUGUACAGGUAAUUAAACAAGGUAUAUAGAUGUGAACAAAUUUAAUGUGAAACUAGUGUACAUUACAUUAAACUAAUUGUAAACAUGUUUACUGUACACGGCCUUAUUUUGAUUGCUUGAUUUCAUUCAUUCGUAAUUAUCUUUAAAUUUCCGGAUAUUUAUGUAAUCCACAUUAUUAAUUCAGGUGAUGUGCGUUUGUUAGAACAGAUGCCUAUCCAGGGAACUCAAUACUUAAAUGAGUUUUUAAAUGAUUACCAGGAGUCGCCUUACCAUGUCAUAACCAAGAAUAACUAUACACAAGAUUGUCAGUUGAUGAGGAAAGUCGUAACAUUUGAUUGAGAAAAACUUCACAGCUAGUUUUAGAGAUAAGGAAGACCGUUUACCAAUGGAUUACAUCAAAAAAGAACAGUUCGAUGUGCUACACGAUGUAUUAUUUAAAAUAGCUUCGA